This 440-nucleotide ribosomal RNA is filed under the name Pseudoeurycea aurantia. RNAcentral describes it as "partial 12S ribosomal RNA". It matches the Rfam family "Bacterial small subunit ribosomal RNA", at positions 866 to 1522 of the family's 1533-position model. The record is from RNAcentral. Lineage: Eukaryota; Metazoa; Chordata; Amphibia; Caudata; Plethodontidae.
CCCCCGCCAGAGCACUACGAGCUACAGCUUAAAACUCAAAGGACUUGGCGGUGCCCUACACCCACCUAGAGGAGCCUGUUCUAUAAUUGAUAAUCCCCAAUAAACCUCACCGCCUUUUGCAAAUACAGCCUAUAUACCACCGUCACAAGCCCACCCCAUCAAAGGAGUAAUAGUAGGCUAAAUAAUUAAAAAUAAAAAAGUCAGGUCAAGGUGUAGCAUAUAAGUCGGAAAGAAAUGGGCUACAUUUUCUUCAAAGAAAACACGGAAAACCUUCAUGAAAUAUGGUUUGAAGGAGGAUUUAGCAGUAAAAAGAGAGUAGAGAGCUCUUUUAAAAUUGGCAAUAGGACGAGCACACACCGCCCGUCACCCUCUUUAAAAAAAUCAAACUUUAGAAGAGGAAAGUCGUAACAUGGUAAGUCUACCGGAAGGUGGCCUUGGAA